AUUGAACGCUGGCGGCAGGCCUAACACAUGCAAGUCGAGCGAGCGGCGGACGGGUGAGUAAUGUCUGGGGAUCUGCCCGAUAGAGGGGGAUAACUACUGGAAACGGUGGCUCAUACCGCAUACUAUCGGGUGACCCCCUAUGGGAUUAGCUAGUAGGUGGGGUAAAGGCUCACCUAGGCGACGAUCUCUAGCUGGGCUGAGAGGAUGAUCAGCCACACUGGGACUGAGAACAGGACCCGACUCCUACGGGAUGCAGCAGUGGGGAAUAUUGCACAAUGGGAGCAAGCCUGAUGCAGCCAUGCCGCGUGUAUGAAGAAGGCCUUAGGGUUGUAAAGUACUUUCAGCGGGGAGGCGUUACCCGCAGAAGAAGCACCGGCUAACUCAGUGCCAGCAGCCGCGGUAAUAC
RNAcentral lists this ribosomal RNA (406 nucleotides) under uncultured bacterium. RNAcentral describes it as "partial 16S ribosomal RNA". It matches the Rfam family "Bacterial small subunit ribosomal RNA", at positions 30 to 526 of the family's 1533-position model. The record is from RNAcentral.